AGAGUUUGAUCAUGGCUCAGAUUGAACGCUGGCGGCACGCCUAACACAUGCAAGUCGAGCGGUAGCAUGGUCUGUAGCAAUACAGAUUGAUGACGAGCGGCGGACGGGUGAGGAACACGUAGGAACCUGUCGUUUAGAGGGGGAUAACCAAGGGAAACUUUGGCUAAUACCGCGUAAUCUCGAGAGAGGAAAGCUGCCCGCAAGGGUGGCGCUAAAUGAGGGGCCUGCGUCCGAUUAGCUAGUUGGAGAGGUAAUGGCUCCCCAAGGCAAUGAUCGGUAACUGGUCUGAGAGGACGACCAGUCACACUGGGACUGAGACACGGCCCAGACUCCUACGGGAGGCAGCAGUGGGGAAUAUUGGACAAUGGGGGCAACCCUGAUCCAGCGAUGCCGCGUGGGUGAAGAAGGCCUUCGGGUUGUAAAGCCCUUUAGAUCGGGAAGAAGUUUAGCCGACGAAUAAUCGGUUAGAUUGACGGUACCGGUAGAAUAAGCACCGGCAAACUCUGUGCCAGCAGCCGCGGUAAUACAGAGGGUGCGAGCGUUAAUCGGAGUUACUGGGCGUAAAGGGCGCGUAGGCGGUAAGAUGAGUGUGAUGUGAAAGCCCCGGGCUUAACCUGGGAAGUGCAUCGCAAACUAUCUAACUAGAGUAUAUGAGAGGGUGGCGGAAUUUCCGGUGUAGCGGUGAGAUGCGUAGAGAUCGGAAGGAACGUCAAUGGCGAAGGCAGCCACCUGGCAUAAUACUGACGCUGAGGCGCGAAAGCGUGGGGAGCGAACAGGAUUAGAUACCCUGGUAGUCCACGCUGUAAACGAUGACAACUAGAUGUUGGUAGGGGAACCUAUCAGUAUCGAAGCUAACGCGAUAAGUUGUCCGCCUGGGAAGUACGGCCGCAAGGUUGAAACUCAAAUGAAUUGACGGGGGCCCGCACAAGCGGUGGAGCAUGUGGUUUAAUUCGAUGCAACGCGAAGAACCUUACCUACCCUUGACAUCCU
RNAcentral lists this ribosomal RNA (990 nucleotides) under uncultured bacterium. RNAcentral describes it as "bacterial SSU rRNA". It matches the Rfam family "Bacterial small subunit ribosomal RNA", at positions 8 to 990 of the family's 1533-position model. The record is from RNAcentral.